This 253-nucleotide ribosomal RNA is filed under the name uncultured bacterium. Its description in RNAcentral is "partial 16S ribosomal RNA". It matches the Rfam family "Bacterial small subunit ribosomal RNA", at positions 524 to 776 of the family's 1533-position model. The record is from RNAcentral.
UACGGAGGGUGCGAGCGUUGUCCGGAAUCACUGGGCGUAAAGGGCGCGUAGGCGGCGCGGGAAGUCAUCGGUGAAAGUUCAGGGCUCAACUCUGAAUCGGCCGGUGAUACUCUCGUGCUUGAGCACUGUAGAGGCAGGUGGAAUUCCGGGUGUAGCGGUGGAAUGCGUAGAGAUCCGGAAGAACACCGAUGGCGAAGGCAGCCUCCUGGGCUAGUACUGACGCUCAUGCACGAAAGCGUGGGGAGCAAACAGG